AGCGAAGCCGCAAUCAACUUGAGCGAUCGAAAAAUUGUUAAAAUAACUACGAAAAUUGAUUAUAUAUACAAAAAAAAAGAAGAAACUGAAGCGUGGCACUGAUCUGGAAUGGAAUGGAAUAUGUAAGAAGGAUUCCAAAUCCACACCUUGCGGGAGCCUCUAUUUAUUUCUUGUUUGUGUUGUUUUUUUAGUGCAAGUGGAUCAGCUGGCAUCAUAGCUGGCCACAUAUGCGCCUGCUACAGGACGGCGAGGGAGUACCCUGGAAAUCGAGGGAGUAAUUGGGAGUGGUCAAUCCACACUCCGGUAACAUUAUUCUAAGUCAGUCAGCUCCUGGCCUUUGGCCUGUUGUUACUUUGGCUCCGCCCUUUCCCUUUCGCUAGAAGUCAGCACGUUUUGACACGUGUUGGGUGCGAUAAUUAAUAUUUAUGAACCUGUGGCGGUUCAAGUGUCAUUAGUUAGUGAGCAGCACCAAGGGGAUUAAGUAAACCACAAACAAACGAACAAAGAAACAACAAACAACCCGCAAAUGAUGCCUUGCGGUUGCUUCCACUGAUCGUUGCCAAUGCCCGCGCGGGAGUGGGUCAGUCGCAGGUAGAGAGUUCGUCAAUAUUAGGUCCGUGUCCGUGUCCGUGGCUACCUGCAUCGCGGGGAGUUUGUUGUUUUUUUUGUUCGCUGUGCGAAAAGCCUAGCUAUGAAGACAGUGCCAAGCAUAAAUUCGUGUACGGCAGACUCAGCUGAACUAAAGCUAGAAGCAUAAAAUAAAUCUUUAUUGUG
This 774-nucleotide long non-coding RNA is filed under the name Drosophila guanche. The record is from RNAcentral. Lineage: Eukaryota; Metazoa; Arthropoda; Insecta; Diptera; Drosophilidae.